GCGGACGUGGCGGAAUUGGUAUACGCAAUAGACUGAGGCUCUAUGGGGAUUUUUCCCCGUGUGGGUUCAAGUCCCACCGUCCGCACCU
This 88-nucleotide transfer RNA is filed under the name Candidatus Parcubacteria bacterium. RNAcentral's name for it is "tRNA-Leu". It matches the Rfam family "tRNA". From Rfam's summary of the family: Transfer RNA (tRNA) molecules are approximately 80 nucleotides in length. Their secondary structure includes four short double-helical elements and three loops (D, anti-codon, and T loops). The record is from RNAcentral. Lineage: Bacteria; Candidatus Parcubacteria.